RNAcentral lists this transfer RNA (70 nucleotides) under Dipodomys ordii (Ord's kangaroo rat). It matches the Rfam family "tRNA". From Rfam's summary of the family: Transfer RNA (tRNA) molecules are approximately 80 nucleotides in length. Their secondary structure includes four short double-helical elements and three loops (D, anti-codon, and T loops). Lineage: Eukaryota; Metazoa; Chordata; Mammalia; Rodentia; Heteromyidae. The record is from Rfam by way of RNAcentral.
GGUAAGGUGGCUCAGUGGUAGAGUGCUUGCCUUUCAUGCAUGAGGCCCUGGGUUUGAUUCCCCAGCACCA